Molecule: ribosomal RNA, 891 nt
Filed under: Trichoderma harzianum
Lineage: Eukaryota; Fungi; Ascomycota; Sordariomycetes; Hypocreales; Hypocreaceae
Description: LSU rRNA
Rfam family: Eukaryotic large subunit ribosomal RNA
Source: RNAcentral
GCAUAUCAAUAAGCGGAGGAAAAGAAACCAACAGGGAUUGCCCCAGUAACGGCGAGUGAAGCGGCAACAGCUCAAAUUUGAAAUCUGGUCCCUAGGGCCCGAGUUGUAAUUUGUAGAGGAUGCUUUUGGUGAGGUGCCGCCCGAGUUCCCUGGAACGGGACGCCACAGAGGGUGAGAGCCCCGUCUGGCUGGCCGCCGAGCCUCUGUAAAGCUCCUUCGACGAGUCGAGUAGUUUGGGAAUGCUGCUCAAAAUGGGAGGUAUAUGUCUUCUAAAGCUAAAUAUUGGCCAGAGACCGAUAGCGCACAAGUAGAGUGAUCGAAAGAUGAAAAGCACCUUGAAAAGAGGGUUAAAUAGUACGUGAAAUUGUUGAAAGGGAAGCGCUUGUGACCAGACUUGGGCGCGGCGGAUCAUCCGGGGUUCUCUCCGGUGCACUUCGCCGCGUCUAGGCCAGCAUCAGUUCGUCGCGGGGGAAAAAGGCUUCGGGAACGUGGCUCCUCCGGGAGUGUUAUAGCCCGUUGCAUAAUACCCUGCGGUGGACUGAGGACCGCGCAUCUGCAAGGAUGCUGGCGUAAUGGUCACCAGCGACCCGUCUUGAAACACGGACCAAGGAGUCGUCUUCGUAUGCGAGUGUUCGGGUGUCAAACCCCUACGCGUAAUGAAAGUGAACGCAGGUGAGAGCUUCGGCGCAUCAUCGACCGAUCCUGAUGUUCUCGGAUGGAUUUGAGUAAGAGCAUACGGGGCCGGACCCGAAAGAAGGUGAACUAUGCCUGUAUAGGGUGAAGCCAGAGGAAACUCUGGUGGAGGCUCGCAGCGGUUCUGACGUGCAAAUCGAUCGUCAAAUAUGGGCAUGGGGGCGAAAGACUAAUCGAACCUUCUAGUAGCUGGUUUCC